This is a long non-coding RNA of Pyrus x bretschneideri (Chinese white pear), 2007 nucleotides long. RefSeq lists it as uncharacterized. NCBI's taxonomy places the organism in Eukaryota, Viridiplantae, Streptophyta, Magnoliopsida, Rosales, Rosaceae. The transcript is spliced from 2 exons. The record is from RefSeq and is a predicted model, not a curated record.
CCCAAAAAAUAACAGUAGUGUUCCAAUUGCUGCCAAAUCUGAGAUUGAUGAACUGAGUUCAAUAAAAUUUGUUUCACAGUGAUCUGAAGACAGCCGCUCCCAUACCGCGCUACAUAUUCGCCAGAAAUCCAGCGACAACUCCGGAAUCCCAAACGGCAAAAGAAACAAAUACUAUGAAGUUUUGGCCCGCCAAUUGCAAGUUUAAGAACCCUAGAAACGAGUUUUAUGACUUUCCACAAAACUCCCAGAACCCUAGUUCUACAGCAAGCUUUACAGAGGAACACAACUUCCCUCAAACGGAGAGCGCAAACAAAAUCCCUUAAGAAACGAAAAUCAGGAUCUGUUUGGUGAAUAUUUUGUGAAAUAAGGAACGAAAGAUUCGAGAGCAACGGAGGAUUCAAGAAAAACAGAGGGCGAAAGGAAGACACGGAAAGCACAGAUUAAGCAAAAGGUAAAGCGAACAAGAAGGCACAAAGAUUAACAAUGAAAAACGCGUGGCCAACGAGGGCAAAAAGGGCAUUCCACUGUAGAAAAACUGAAACAGUGCGGUCAACAAAGAAGAAACCAAUAAUGCAGCCUUGAAGACAAGGAAAUUGAUGAGUCUUCUGCAAGCACCUUCAAUUGAGGCCCCGGAAAAACAAAAGUGGUCCUGUAACCCUACCAACACGUGAUAGGACGGUGGAAAAGUAGGAGCUGUUUUUUGAAAAAAAACCAAGGGAAGGACGUUUCCAGUGGAAAACCAUGAUGCCAUUAUCUGAUCACUGGACGGCUAGAUUCAAGUUUUGCAAAAGAUCCACAUUAAAGAAAAAGCCAUAUUUGCUUUUCAAUAUUAUGGUAGAAACAAUUAAUUGUAGCUUUUCUCUUUGGAACACAUGCUAGCAACUUUCAUAUUUAAAUUUUCUCCCUCUUUCUUUUUUAUUUUGUUUCUCAUUCCGUAAUGUUAUAAUCAUGAUUCAAACUUUUUAUUUUUAAGAUCACUUUCUAAGCACGAAGUAUACUAAAAUUCAAUCAAAUUCAAAACGUGUAGUAAUAGACAAACCAUGUCAUUCGAUAAACACUAAAAUUUUGUCAAUUUUAAUAACUAUUACUCAUGUAAUCAUACGAUAAACAUCAUUUCAAUUUUCAUAUAUAUUAGUCGCCUACGGAUCUCAAAUAUAAGAAACACAUAGAAUUUUCUACUUAGAAAAUACCUCCAAAGAGAAAAGGAGAGACCCCCGUUUCCUUUUGCAAAAUUCGGAAAACCCCCAAAAUCAAACUACGCGGCAAACUGGCACCAAAAAUAUGGAGGGGAGUUCCGGCGCCUCUUCCGACACCGCAAUCGAAACCCUAAGAACCGGAUGAUGGUGCUUCGGCAACCUCGAACAAGUGGAGGAGAAGAUCCUGAUCCACCCCGCCUUGUCCGACGAAACGCGUACGGUAGUGAACUCAAUGGAACCCGAGCUCACCAACAUGAACCUUAAAUCCAUCUCCGCCAGGUCCAUGCCCGACCCGCAUACGCUCCUAAGGUCCUCUCACCUCCUCGGCCCCAAAGUCCUCCAGGUAAAUCACACCUCUCUGUAUUUCUCGUUAAUUUUUCUUGUCCUCUGUUUGGUUGCUGAGAAAAUAGAUAAAGAGAAAGAAAAUUGUGGUCUCUCCUUUCUGUUUUGUUAUCAAAUGGCUUGGGUAAGGGACGUUGCUAAAAGCAGUACGGAGGAUUUUUCGAGGAGUUUGAGUCGUCGACGGCUUUUGAUGCCCGAUGAUCCCUGACGACGGCCACAGCUGUGGAGUACUCUCAUACCCCGGCAAUCCCUGACGAAGGUUUUCAUUAUUAUUUGUUGUUUGUGGAUGAUUAUUCGCGAUAUUCAUGGAUUUUUUCCAUGAAACAAAAAUCUGAAGUUUUUGCGAUAUUUGUGAAGUUUAAAGCCAAAGUUGAAAAUAUGUUUAACAAAUCCAUAAACACUCUUCAAUGUGACGAAGGUGGUGAAUAUAAGAAUCAUUUUUUUCAAAGGUUUCUUGAUAUUCAUGGUA